Molecule: ribosomal RNA, 2506 nt
Filed under: Escherichia coli HVH 115 (4-4465997)
Lineage: Bacteria; Pseudomonadati; Pseudomonadota; Gammaproteobacteria; Enterobacterales; Enterobacteriaceae
Description: bacterial LSU rRNA
Rfam family: Bacterial large subunit ribosomal RNA
Source: RNAcentral
AAUAUGGGGGGACCAUCCUCCAAGGCUAAAUACUCCUGACUGACCGAUAGUGAACCAGUACCGUGAGGGAAAGGCGAAAAGAACCCCGGCGAGGGGAGUGAAAAAGAACCUGAAACCGUGUACGUACAAGCAGUGGGAGCACAGAGCAAUCUGUGUGACUGCGUACCUUUUGUAUAAUGGGUCAGCGACUUAUAUUCUGUAGCAAGGUUAACCGAAUAGGGGAGCCGAAGGGAAACCGAGUCUUAACUGGGCGUUAAGUUGCAGGGUAUAGACCCGAAACCCGGUGAUCUAGCCAUGGGCAGGUUGAAGGUUGGGUAACACUAACUGGAGGACCGAACCGACUAAUGUUGAAAAAUUAGCGGAUGACUUGUGGCUGGGGGUGAAAGGCCAAUCAAACCGGGAGAUAGCUGGUUCUCCCCGAAAGCUAUUUAGGUAGCGCCUCGUGAAUUCAUCUCCGGGGGUAGAGCACUGUUUCGGCAAGGGGGUCAUCCCGACUUACCAACCCGAUGCAAACUGCGAAUACCGGAGAAUGUUAUCACGGGAGACACACGGCGGGUGCUAACGUCCGUCGUGAAGAGGGAAACAACCCAGACCGCCAGCUAAGGUCCCAAAGUCAUGGUUAAGUGGGAAACGAUGUGGGAAGGCCCAGACAGCCAGGAUGUUGGCUUAGAAGCAGCCAUCAUUUAAAGAAAGCGUAAUAGCUCACUGGUCGAGUCGGCCUGCGCGGAAGAUGUAACGGGGCUAAACCAUGCACCGAAGCUGCGGCAGCGACGCUUAUGCGUUGUUGGGUAGGGGAGCGUUCUGUAAGCCUGUGAAGGUGUACUGUGAGGUAUGCUGGAGGUAUCAGAAGUGCGAAUGCUGACAUAAGUAACGAUAAAGCGGGUGAAAAGCCCGCUCGCCGGAAGACCAAGGGUUCCUGUCCAACGUUAAUCGGGGCAGGGUGAGUCGACCCCUAAGGCGAGGCCGAAAGGCGUAGUCGAUGGGAAACAGGUUAAUAUUCCUGUACUUGGUGUUACUGCGAAGGGGGGACGGAGAAGGCUAUGUUGGCCGGGCGACGGUUGUCCCGGUUUAAGCGUGUAGGCUGGUUUUCCAGGCAAAUCCGGAAAAUCAAGGCUGAGGCGUGAUGACGAGGCACUACGGUGCUGAAGCAACAAAUGCCCUGCUUCCAGGAAAAGCCUCUAAGCAUCAGGUAACAUCAAAUCGUACCCCAAACCGACACAGGUGGUCAGGUAGAGAAUACCAAGGCGCUUGAGAGAACUCGGGUGAAGGAACUAGGCAAAAUGGUGCCGUAACUUCGGGAGAAGGCACGCUGAUAUGUAGGUGAAGUCCCUCGCGGAUGGAGCUGAAAUCAGUCGAAGAUACCAGCUGGCUGCAACUGUUUAUUAAAAACACAGCACUGUGCAAACACGAAAGUGGACGUAUACGGUGUGACGCCUGCCCGGUGCCGGAAGGUUAAUUGAUGGGGUCAGCGCAAGCGAAGCUCUUGAUCGAAGCCCCGGUAAACGGCGGCCGUAACUAUAACGGUCCUAAGGUAGCGAAAUUCCUUGUCGGGUAAGUUCCGACCUGCACGAAUGGCGUAAUGAUGGCCAGGCUGUCUCCACCCGAGACUCAGUGAAAUUGAACUCGCUGUGAAGAUGCAGUGUACCCGCGGCAAGACGGAAAGACCCCGUGAACCUUUACUAUAGCUUGACACUGAACAUUGAGCCUUGAUGUGUAGGAUAGGUGGGAGGCUUUGAAGUGUGGACGCCAGUCUGCAUGGAGCCGACCUUGAAAUACCACCCUUUAAUGUUUGAUGUUCUAACGUUGACCCGUGAUCCGGGUUGCGGACAGUGUCUGGUGGGUAGUUUGACUGGGGCGGUCUCCUCCUAAAGAGUAACGGAGGAGCACGAAGGUUGGCUAAUCCUGGUCGGACAUCAGGAGGUUAGUGCAAUGGCAUAAGCCAGCUUGACUGCGAGCGUGACGGCGCGAGCAGGUGCGAAAGCAGGUCAUAGUGAUCCGGUGGUUCUGAAUGGAAGGGCCAUCGCUCAACGGAUAAAAGGUACUCCGGGGAUAACAGGCUGAUACCGCCCAAGAGUUCAUAUCGACGGCGGUGUUUGGCACCUCGAUGUCGGCUCAUCACAUCCUGGGGCUGAAGUAGGUCCCAAGGGUAUGGCUGUUCGCCAUUUAAAGUGGUACGCGAGCUGGGUUUAGAACGUCGUGAGACAGUUCGGUCCCUAUCUGCCGUGGGCGCUGGAGAACUGAGGGGGGCUGCUCCUAGUACGAGAGGACCGGAGUGGACGCAUCACUGGUGUUCGGGUUGUCAUGCCAAUGGCACUGCCCGGUAGCUAAAUGCGGAAGAGAUAAGUGCUGAAAGCAUCUAAGCACGAAACUUGCCCCGAGAUGAGUUCUCCCUGACUCCUUGAGAGUCCUGAAGGAACGUUGAAGACGACGACGUUGAUAGGCCGGGUGUGUAAGCGCAGCGAUGCGUUGAGCUAACCGGUACUAAUGAACCGUGAGGCUUAACCUU